This 524-nucleotide unclassified non-coding RNA is filed under the name uncultured Glomeromycotina. RNAcentral's name for it is "SSU rRNA". It matches the Rfam family "Eukaryotic small subunit ribosomal RNA", at positions 591 to 1114 of the family's 1831-position model. Lineage: Eukaryota; Fungi; Glomeromycota. The record is from RNAcentral.
CCAAUAGCGUAUAUUAAAGUUGUUGCAGUUAAAAAGCUCGUAGUUGAACUUCGGGGUCUACCCAUUGGUCAGGCUUAAUUGUCUGUACUGGUGAGAUGGAUCUCUACCUUCUGAGGAACUUUCAUGCCAUUUAUUUGGUGUGGUUGGAAAUCAGGACUGUUACUUUGAAAAAAUUAGAGUGUUUAAAGCAGACUAUCGUCUGAAUACAUUAGCAUGGAAUAAUGAAAUAGGACGGACUGAUUCUAUUUCGUUGGUUUCUAGGAUCACCGUAAUGAUUAAUAGGGAUAGUUGGGGGCAUUAGUAUUCAAUUGUCAGAGGUGAAAUUCUUGGAUUUAUUGAAGACUAACUACUGCGAAAGCAUUUGCCAAGGAUGUUUUCAUUAAUCAAGAACGAAAGUUAGGGGAUCGAAGACGAUCAGAUACCGUCGUAGUCUUAACCAUAAACUAUGCCGACUAGGGAUCGGACGAAGUUAAUUUUAUAAUGACGCGUUCGGCACCUUACGGGAACCCAAACACUUUGGUUUC